This is a long non-coding RNA of Cercocebus atys (sooty mangabey), 438 nucleotides long. RefSeq lists it as uncharacterized. The record is from RefSeq and is a predicted model, not a curated record. The transcript has 3 exons. NCBI's taxonomy places the organism in Eukaryota, Metazoa, Chordata, Mammalia, Primates, Cercopithecidae.
GAUUCUGAGAUUCAAGAGCCAGAGCAGGGUGGGCCCGUGUGACCACAGUGGACCCUGCCUCCAGAGACUGGGGCUCAGGAAAGGGAAUGUCCCGAGGCCACACAGCCACGAAGCAGCACAACCAGGUGUCCGACGGCAGAGCUGGGCUCUGAGCCUCCCCCUGUGCCUAGAGACAUGGCUCCUGGACACCCCAGGGCACGUCGCAGGAACGCAGGCAGCCACACGGGGCCCUCAGAACGCUCUGAGAGGUGAGAACCACCAUGAUCCUUUAUUGGGAUGGGAAGCUGAGGCUCACAGCCAGUGGGUCUCACACCUGUGGCCCCUGCCCUGAGACCACGCGGCUGUCCUGCCUUGGUGAUGCCCGGAGCCUGGCACUGUCUCCUGCCCGGUCUGGACCAAGCACACGGGUGGCAAGGGAUCCUCCUGGCCACAGCUCUG